RNAcentral lists this ribosomal RNA (253 nucleotides) under uncultured bacterium. Its description in RNAcentral is "partial 16S ribosomal RNA". It matches the Rfam family "Bacterial small subunit ribosomal RNA", at positions 524 to 776 of the family's 1533-position model. RNAcentral also lists the same sequence under 1 other name. The record is from RNAcentral.
UACGGAGGGGGCUAGCGUUGUUCGGAAUUACUGGGCGUAAAGCGCACGUAGGCGGCUUUGCAAGUCAGAGGUGAAAGCCCGGGGCUCAACCCCGGAAUAGCCUUUGAGACUGCAUCGCUUGAACAUCGGAGAGGUAAGUGGAAUUCCGAGUGUAGAGGUGAAAUUCGUAGAUAUUCGGAAGAACACCAGUGGCGAAGGCGACUUACUGGACGAUUGUUGACGCUGAGGUGCGAAAGCGUGGGGAGCAAACAGG